GGGAAGGGUCAUAACUCAGUGCCAGAGCAUCUGCCUUGCAUGCAGAAGGUCCCAGGUUCCAUAACCUGGGACCUCCCA
Podarcis lilfordi (Lilford's wall lizard) is the source of this 78-nucleotide non-coding RNA. The record is from the annotation of a GenBank genome assembly. NCBI's taxonomy places the organism in Eukaryota, Metazoa, Chordata, Lepidosauria, Squamata, Lacertidae.